GCCCCGAUGGUGUAGAGGACUAUCAUGCGGGCCUGUCGAGCCCGCGACUCGGGUUCGAAUCCCGAUCGGGGCG
This 73-nucleotide transfer RNA is filed under the name Candidatus Altarchaeales archaeon. RNAcentral describes it as "Candidatus Altiarchaeales archaeon tRNA-Asp". It matches the Rfam family "tRNA". Rfam says of the family: Transfer RNA (tRNA) molecules are approximately 80 nucleotides in length. Their secondary structure includes four short double-helical elements and three loops (D, anti-codon, and T loops). The record is from RNAcentral. RNAcentral also lists the same sequence under 1 other name. Lineage: Archaea; Nanobdellati; Candidatus Altarchaeota; Candidatus Altarchaeia; Candidatus Altarchaeales.